RNAcentral lists this long non-coding RNA (317 nucleotides) under Hordeum vulgare. Its description in RNAcentral is "long non-coding RNA (HVUL_LNC000679)". The record is from RNAcentral. Lineage: Eukaryota; Viridiplantae; Streptophyta; Magnoliopsida; Poales; Poaceae.
CAUCCAAAAUCCAUUCUAACUCCAAAUCUCAUGAUUCAAAUUUCUGCAGGUCUCUAAAAUGAAGAUCUAUACAAAUAUUGACUUUGCACAUUUUUCCAAACAACUUUCAUAAUGUAUUUAUAUUUAAAUACAGAUUUGGGAUUCUUCUAGCUUCCCUUUCAAAAAUCACAUAGGCUUCAGAUCAACUCCAAUUGGAGUGAUUCAAAUUUCCACAGCCUUCUUAUAUCAUGUACAAAUUUUAGAGCCUUGGUCAACAUUUUUAUGAAGCUUCAUUCUGUUGCUUAUAAUAAAUAGCUUCCUAUUGCUAUUUAUUCCAC